UGUUGCUCCCAGAGCUCUCAGGGCCUCUGCCACUGCCUGAGGACAGAGACCAGAGCUGCGUUUCCAGCAGGUUCUGCCGCCCUCCCCAGGGGAGACCUUGGGAGCCUUGCAGCAACUUGGUGUCUCCUGAGUCGCCAGAGAGAAGCUGCCUUGUUGCAGACCCGUGGAUCGAGGGGUCUCACGACAUCACAUCAUGGAUGCCAUGGAUGGUUUGCUCCAGAUUCAGGCUGGUUUCCAGGGAGAAAUCCUGACAGAAAUUCAGAAGACCAGGAGCUGCUUUCAGUUAGGAUGUGAAUACAUGAAAUAUUCGUCUCAGGACCUUCUAGAAGAAUGAGCUGGGACCCACUUUGCGAGUCCUGCUGGAACCAAAGACCGAGGAGAUAUAUCAACAAAGGCGUGUGUACAGCCAUCGUCAAAGAAGAUACUGCCUGUGUUACCCUCUGG
This is a long non-coding RNA of Lynx canadensis (Canada lynx), 444 nucleotides long. RefSeq lists it as uncharacterized. NCBI's taxonomy places the organism in Eukaryota, Metazoa, Chordata, Mammalia, Carnivora, Felidae. The record is from RefSeq and is a predicted model, not a curated record. The transcript is spliced from 3 exons.